This 555-nucleotide ribosomal RNA is filed under the name Bifidobacterium breve. Its description in RNAcentral is "bacterial SSU rRNA". It matches the Rfam family "Bacterial small subunit ribosomal RNA", at positions 146 to 710 of the family's 1533-position model. The record is from RNAcentral. Lineage: Bacteria; Bacillati; Actinomycetota; Actinomycetes; Bifidobacteriales; Bifidobacteriaceae.
UCUCCUGGAAAACGGGUGGUAAUGCCGGAUGCUCCAUCACACCGCAUGGUGUGUUGGGAAAGCCUUUGCGGCAUGGGAUGGGGUCGCGUCCUAUCAGCUUGAUGGCGGGGUAACGGCCCACCAUGGCUUCGACGGGUAGCCGGCCUGAGAGGGCGACCGGCCACAUUGGGACUGAGAUACGGCCCAGACUCCUACGGGAGGCAGCAGUGGGGAAUAUUGCACAAUGGGCGCAAGCCUGAUGCAGCGACGCCGCGUGAGGGAUGGAGGCCUUCGGGUUGUAAACCUCUUUUGUUAGGGAGCAAGGCACUUUGUGUUGAGUGUACCUUUCGAAUAAGCACCGGCUAACUACGUGCCAGCAGCCGCGGUAAUACGUAGGGUGCAAGCGUUAUCCGGAAUUAUUGGGCGUAAAGGGCUCGUAGGCGGUUCGUCGCGUCCGGUGUGAAAGUCCAUCGCUUAACGGUGGAUCCGCGCCGGGUACGGGCGGGCUUGAGUGCGGUAGGGGAGACUGGAAUUCCCGGUGUAACGGUGGAAUGUGUAGAUAUCGGGAAGAACACC